This 2361-nucleotide long non-coding RNA is filed under the name Sarcophilus harrisii (Tasmanian devil). RNAcentral describes it as "lncRNA (ENSSHAG00000020833.1)". The stretch from base 690 to 891 matches the Rfam family "Small nucleolar RNA SNORA74". Lineage: Eukaryota; Metazoa; Chordata; Mammalia; Dasyuromorphia; Dasyuridae. The record is from RNAcentral.
GCCGGCUUUCUGCAAUCGCCCCCUAGGCCCCUCCGCUCUGCCGAGAGAAGCUCGGCCCCGCCCCUCUGCGGAGCUCCAGUCCGGCCCCGCCCCUCUGCGGAGCUCCGCUCCGGCCCCGCCCCUCUGCGGAGCUCCGCUCCGGCCCCGCCCUUCCGCAGAGCCGGGCUUGGGUUCCACCCCUCUGCAGAGGCCUGGGCAGGCCCCGCCCCCUGCGGAGCCCUGCUCUUCAGGCCCCGCCCCUCUGCAGAGCUCUACGCAGGGUCCUCCCUCCGCUGGCUCCGCCCCUUUGCGGUAGAAGCCGGGGCGGAGCUCCCCAGCCCUCACUGCGGUCUUUCUUUCCUGUGGCCUCGGCCGGUGAGGUCAUGUCUUUUCGAGCUCCGCCACACGUGGGGUUUCCUCUCCAGGAGUCUCUCCUCAUACCACCCUGAAAUCACAGAUUCAUGUCUCCCUUCAAAAAAAAAAUGAAAAUCAAACGUGGAAUUGGGAAAGGAGUAGGGUGAAACCAGCUGGUGGCCCCCAUGAGAAGUAUGAGAGAUCGUUCAUGACAAGGAAUUUCAGGUAAAUAUCCCUUCCUGGCUGUAGGAAUGGGUAUUGGGGUAAAUAUCACUCGCCUUCCAUUUGAAAGACUAGCCUUCUGAAGGAAAUCUGACACAGGUAAGAAUACUCAAAUCUCUGCUUCUUAGGCUUUACCCAGUUUCUGUCAGCUGUCCAGGCCAACACCAUGCCUGUGACGGUGUUACACUUCUGGGAGAGAAAUGCACUGUCGUCACCAAGGUCUUGUCACAUGGCACUGUUUUAGUGCCAAGGCUGACUGCCUUAGAUAGUGCUUUGCACCACUGAGAGUGGAUUAACUUCCUAUAUGAAGUUAGUCCUAGUCUAGGUGCACACAUGUAUAUUUAUUUUCUCCACCUCUUGGUAUUGUGUCCCUGUCCCCUGACAUUAUAUAGUUUAGACUGGAUGGCCUCUAAGGUCCCUUCCAGUUCUAAAUCUCUGAUCCUUAUGAUCCAGUCACCUUCUUCUUUGCUACCAGGACCAGCACCUGUAUCUGGACUUCAGGUGACUUGUGAUAUACUGCUCCUGGGUGGUUACUAAGGUAGGUACUUUACAUUAUUCCAUAACCUCGGACUAAGGUCCUCAAGCAUAAAAGGGUCACCUUUACAUGAAGGUAAACAUUUCUGGAAUUCAGCCAAAGCAGCUUUAUAUCUCCAUAAGAGAAAUGAAUUGUGCACACAGCUGCUGGGGGGGGCGGGGGGGAGGGGGGGGGGGCAGGGGGAAAGUAGGAAACCAACAAAUUAAAAAUUGCCCAGUUAAACACUUGAAUCUUUAGAGUAAAAGACAUGAUAAAAUUGAAAACAAAAUACUGUGUUUGCAAAAACUAACUGCUGAGGAAAACAAUCCCAUUUGGUCCUGGAAUUUGUUUUCUUUGUCAUACCAUCAGUUUUCUUUUAUGCACUUGAAUGCCUUUCAUUAUACUCCUAAAGGGAAUACAAAAUGAUACCAAAAGGGUCAGGAGCCCUUGGUUUGUUCUCCUUUGGGAAGACUAUCUACAAUGCUGACCAUGUCUGACAGAGUAGCCACUGAAUUCAAAUGCUUGCUGGCUUGAAUUUGAAAUGUCUUGCUAAAUUGCCCAAGUCAAAUUUGUCUGCUUUAUUUUCUACAGCUUACAAAGAGAUCAGAAGCACAGAAGGCUUUGAUCCUAGUGGAAGAACAGUGAUGAAAAACCCAGGAAUCUCCCCCCUCCAUGAAACUGAGUGGCAGAGUGAUUUGAAAUGGGUAUAAGAUGGAACUUCUGGUACUGGGAAGAACUGAUUGCUGGAUGAAGAAUAAUUACUAGUCCAAGUUGGGUUCUCUCUACUGUAUACAAUCAUUCCCUGAGGGGUUUGGGUGGCUAAUCAUGCAAAUUAAAAGGAUCUAAUAGGAUUUGCUACUUGAUAAGUGAAAGUAAUUACUCAUCUCCCUGUUGACUUGAUUAUUGUGAUUUUAAACAAAAAUUCUCUUUCUGUUAUAAUGAGCAACUGAAAUGUAAAUGCUAAAUAAAACUAGUAUAAAACUCCUUGUUUUGUGGUUUUGGGUGAUUUAUAAUAACAUGGGUAGGAAUUGUAAAGACAAUGAAGAACAUAACAGCGUCCCCAUUUCUAGGCCUGAAUUCUGUUAAUUUUAUUUCAUUUGACUCCAUAGCAAUGAGUUUUCUUUAGAAUAUCCACGCCUUGAAUUAAAAACCCAAAGCAAGCCAGGAGAAUGACCCAAAGGAGAAGGCUUUUGUAUCCAAUUGUGUACAAAAAAUAUGGCCAAAUGUCUGAGGAUUUCUAUGAAAGAAAACAACCUCCUAAGAGCAACUAAUUAAGGGCUUGAAGGGGAGAU